RNAcentral lists this ribosomal RNA (476 nucleotides) under uncultured bacterium. Its description in RNAcentral is "bacterial SSU rRNA". It matches the Rfam family "Bacterial small subunit ribosomal RNA", at positions 25 to 518 of the family's 1533-position model. The record is from RNAcentral.
CAGGACGAACGCUGGCGGCGUGCCUAACACAUGCAAGUCGAGCGAGGAGAUCCUUCGGGAUGAUCCUAGCGGCGGACGGGUGAGUAACACGUGGGCAACCUGCCUCAUAGAGAGGAAUAGCCUUCCGAAAGGGAGAUUAAUACCUCAUAACAUUGCAGUUUCGCAUGGAACAGCAAUUAAAGGAGUAAUCCGCUAUGAGAUGGGCCCGCGGCGCAUUAGCUAGUUGGUGAGGUAAUGGCUCACCAAGGCGACGAUGCGUAGCCGACCUGAGAGGGUGAUCGGCCACAUUGGGACUGAGACACGGCCCAGACUCCUACGGGAGGCAGCAGUGGGGAAUAUUGCACAAUGGGGGAAACCCUGAUGCAAGCAACGCCGCGUGAGUGAUGACGGCCUUCGGGUUGUAAAGCUCUGUCUUCAGGGACGAUAAUGACGGUACCUGAGGAGGAAGCCACGGCUAACUACGUGCCAGCCGCUGC